Molecule: ribosomal RNA, 405 nt
Filed under: uncultured bacterium
Lineage: Bacteria
Description: partial 16S ribosomal RNA
Rfam family: Bacterial small subunit ribosomal RNA
Source: RNAcentral
AUUGAACGCUAGCGGGAUGCUUUACACAUGCAAGUCGAACGAGUGGCGCACGGGUGAGUAAUAUAUCGGAACGUGCCCAGUAGCGGGGGAUCACUACUCGAAAGAGUGGCUCAUACUGCCUACUAUUGGAGCGGCCAAUAUUGGCUUGGCUAGUUGGUGGGGGAAAGGCACACCAAGGCAACGAUCCGGAGCUGGUUUGAGAGGACGACCGGCCACACUGGGACUGAGACAAGGCCCAGACUCCUACGGUAGGCAGCAGUGGGGAAUUUUGGACAAUGGGGGAAACCCUGAUCCAGCCAUCCCGCGUGUAUGAGAAGGCCUUCGGGUUGUAAAGUACUUUUGGCAGAGAAGCGGUAUCUGCAGAAUAAGCACCGGCUAACUACGUGCCAGCAGCCGCGGUAAUUC